CAAAAUGUGUCGUUUUAAAUUUGCUACCUUUAUUUCUUGUACAUUCAAUAUGGCUAUGGGGUGGAGAGAACAUAGGUGAAAGAGUGUGAGCUCCCUUUGAACAGUACAUGACAGUAACAAUGCUAGGGAACAGCUUUGGGAAAUAAUGUUGAGAACAAAUGGCCUUGUUCAAUCUCGGCUACCCAGUGAGGCUGUAAUAAUGUAUGAAAGAAGGGGGAAUGAAUGAAUUCCUGGUGUUUGCAAUGCUAGCCGCUAACUCUCCCGGCUAUUGAAAUCUCAGUGAUUCAGGAGCUGCGAUUGGAGCCGGGAUCCCAGCUCAGCUUGGGGGCGGGGCGUGAGUCCGCCGGAAACGCCCGGCCGCCCCGCCCUCCAGCUUCCCCCACGCGGUUGCUAGGCUACCGGGGCUGUGGCAGAAGUCAGUGGCCCCAGAUCUCGUCGCGCGUGUCGUCUGCCCGCUUCUCCUGUGUA
RNAcentral lists this long non-coding RNA (468 nucleotides) under Dasypus novemcinctus (nine-banded armadillo). RNAcentral's name for it is "lncRNA (ENSDNOG00000051944.1)". Lineage: Eukaryota; Metazoa; Chordata; Mammalia; Cingulata; Dasypodidae. The record is from RNAcentral.